This 253-nucleotide ribosomal RNA is filed under the name uncultured bacterium. RNAcentral's name for it is "partial 16S ribosomal RNA". It matches the Rfam family "Bacterial small subunit ribosomal RNA", at positions 524 to 776 of the family's 1533-position model. The record is from RNAcentral.
UACGUAGGGGGCAAGCGUUGUCCGGAAUCAUUGGGCGUAAAGCGCGUGUAGGCGGCUCGGUAAGUCUGCUGUGAAAGCCCACGGCUCAACCGUGGAAGGUCAUUGGAAACUGAAAGGCUUGAGUACAGAAGAGGAAAGCGGAAUUCCACGUGUAGCGGUGAAAUGCGUAGAGAUGUGGAGGAACACCAGUGGCGAAGGCGGCUUUCUGGUCUGUAACUGACGCUGAGGCGCGAAAGCGUGGGGAGCAAACAGG